RNAcentral lists this long non-coding RNA (201 nucleotides) under Malus domestica (apple). RNAcentral describes it as "long non-coding RNA (MDOM_LNC018211)". The record is from RNAcentral. Lineage: Eukaryota; Viridiplantae; Streptophyta; Magnoliopsida; Rosales; Rosaceae.
GACCGUAUUGCAUUGUAGUUGUAACUGGAUAGGUUCUCCAACCAAUUCUACUUAGCUUGGGUAACCAUGAUAUUCUGCUAGGCGUCACUCAUGGUUUGUGGAAGCCCUAAUGAUUAGCAAACACUAAUCAUCAAAGGGAGAAUUGAAAUGUGGUUUCAAUUCACAAUCGAUCGUUAAGAGUAACAUCGCCCACUGCCUCGC